GCGACCCCAGGUCAGGCAGGACUACCCGCUGAGUU
Molecule: ribosomal RNA, 35 nt
Filed under: Quercus pyrenaica
Lineage: Eukaryota; Viridiplantae; Streptophyta; Magnoliopsida; Fagales; Fagaceae
Also listed under: 3 other names
Description: partial 25S ribosomal RNA
Source: RNAcentral